CUGGCUCAGGAUGAACGCUAGCGACAGGCUUAACACAUGCAAGUCGAGGGGCAGCAUAAAGUAGCAAUACUUGGUGGCGACCGGCGCACGGGUGAGUAACGCGUAUGCAACCUACCUAUCAGAGGGGAAUAACCCGGCGAAAGUCGGACUAAUACCGCAUAAAACAGGGGCACCGCAUGGUGAUAUUUGUUAAAGAAAUUCGCUGAUAGAUGGGCAUGCGUUCCAUUAGGUAGUUGGUGAGGUAACGGCUCACCAAGCCGACGAUGGAUAGGGGAACUGAGAGGUUGGUCCCCCACACUGGUACUGAGACACGGACCAGACUCCUACGGGAGGCAGCAGUGAGGAAUAUUGGUCAAUGGGCGGGAGCCUGAACCAGCCAAGUCGCGUGAAAGGAAGAAGGAUCUAUGGUUCGUAAACUUCUUUUGCAGGGGAAUAAAGUGCAGGACGUGUCCUGUUUUGUAUGUACCCUGAGAAUAAGGAUCGGCUAACUCCGUGCCAGCCGCUGC
This 506-nucleotide ribosomal RNA is filed under the name uncultured bacterium. RNAcentral's name for it is "bacterial SSU rRNA". It matches the Rfam family "Bacterial small subunit ribosomal RNA", at positions 19 to 518 of the family's 1533-position model. The record is from RNAcentral.